RNAcentral lists this ribosomal RNA (253 nucleotides) under uncultured bacterium. Its description in RNAcentral is "partial 16S ribosomal RNA". It matches the Rfam family "Bacterial small subunit ribosomal RNA", at positions 524 to 776 of the family's 1533-position model. The record is from RNAcentral.
UACGAAGGGGGCUAGCGUUGCUCGGAAUCACUGGGCGUAAAGGGUGCGUAGGCGGGUCUUUAAGUCAGGGGUGAAAUCCUGGAGCUCAACUCCAGAACUGCCUUUGAUACUGAGGAUCUUGAGUUCGGGAGAGGUGAGUGGAACUGCGAGUGUAGAGGUGAAAUUCGUAGAUAUCGGGAGGAACACCGGUGGCGAAGGCGGCGAUCUGGGUCGAUACUGACGCUGAGGUGCGAAAGCGUGGGGAGCAAACAGG